CCUACGGGAGGCAGCAGUGGGGAAUAUUGCACAAUGGGGGAAACCCUGAUGCAGCGACGCCGCGUGAGUGAAGAAGUAUUUCGGUAUGUAAAGCUCUAUCAGCAGGGAAGAGAAUGACGGUACCUGAGUAAGAAGCCCCGGCUAACUACGUGCCAGCAGCCGCGGUAAUACGUAGGGGGCAAGCGUUAUCCGGAUUUACUGGGUGUAAAGGGAGCGUAGACGGCGAAGAAAGUCUGAAGUGAAAGCCCGCGGCUUAACCGCGGAACUGCUUUGGAAACUUUUUUGCUGGAGUACCGGAGAGGUAGGCGGAAUGCCUAGUGUAGCGGUGAAAUGCGUAGAUAUUCGGAGGAACACCGGUGGCGAAGGCGGCUUACUGGACGGUAACUGACGUUGAGGCUCGAAAGCGUGGGGAGCAAACAGGAUUAGAUACCCGAGUAGUC
RNAcentral lists this ribosomal RNA (440 nucleotides) under uncultured bacterium. Its description in RNAcentral is "partial 16S ribosomal RNA". It matches the Rfam family "Bacterial small subunit ribosomal RNA", at positions 338 to 795 of the family's 1533-position model. The record is from RNAcentral.